This 459-nucleotide ribosomal RNA is filed under the name Triticum aestivum (bread wheat). RNAcentral's name for it is "partial small subunit ribosomal RNA". Lineage: Eukaryota; Viridiplantae; Streptophyta; Magnoliopsida; Poales; Poaceae. The record is from RNAcentral.
AUGGAUCAUUUUGUUCUUUUAUUUCUAGGAAAUACUCAUCAGAGUGCACACAUAAACAUGUGCCUGGAAACACGACAUCACCGUCUGCAAAAUCAACGGUCCACAAGAACAUAUGAGCCUCAAUUGUUUGUCCAUGCUUCAAUUACGGACAUAUGUGGUUCAGGAAAUACAAGAAUACAUACCGCACAGCCACAAAAGAUUUCUUGCAUGCACUUUGUCCUCUCCACAUUUGCUCAUCCCGUAUCUGAUACCGGAUACCUUCUCCCACGAGUACAACUUGUACAAGUCGUAAGCCUCGCCCAACGUAUCAAAGCUUGUACCCAACGCAUGCACAAUCACAAUGUCUCCUGGGUUCUCUGUGAAGCUGCGGAUUUCCCUCUCGAGAGCGCUCGUGCAAUCUGGACAUGGCGUCCUGCCAGGAGCGGCAGCACCAAUCCUCGCCCUGCAGAGAAGAGCUAA